This 253-nucleotide ribosomal RNA is filed under the name uncultured Spartobacteria bacterium. RNAcentral describes it as "partial 16S ribosomal RNA". It matches the Rfam family "Bacterial small subunit ribosomal RNA", at positions 524 to 776 of the family's 1533-position model. The record is from RNAcentral. Lineage: Bacteria; Pseudomonadati; Verrucomicrobiota; Spartobacteria.
UACAGAGGUCUCGAGCGUUGUUCGGAUUCAUUGGGCGUAAAGGGUGCGUAGGUGGUAUGGCAAGUCGGAUGUGAAAUCCCGGGGCUCAACCUCGGAACUGCAUUCGAUACUGCCGUGCUUGAGUACUGGAGAGGAGAUCGGAAUUUACGGUGUAGCAGUGAAAUGCGUAGAUAUCGUAAGGAAGACCAGUGGCGAAGGCGGAUCUCUGGACAGUUACUGACACUGAGGCACGAAGGCCAGGGGAGCAAACGGG